Molecule: non-coding RNA, 135 nt
Organism: Podarcis lilfordi (Lilford's wall lizard)
Lineage: Eukaryota; Metazoa; Chordata; Lepidosauria; Squamata; Lacertidae
Source: the annotation of a GenBank genome assembly
CUUCCAGUAACACCUUAGAGACCAACUAAGUUUGUUAUUGGUAUGAGCUUUCGUGUGCAUGCACACUUCUUCAGAUACCUUCAGAUAUCUCACACCAAUAACAAACUUAGUUGGUCUCUAAGGUGCUACUGGAAG